This 2750-nucleotide long non-coding RNA is filed under the name Sus scrofa (pig). RNAcentral's name for it is "lncRNA (ENSSSCG00040013614.1)". Lineage: Eukaryota; Metazoa; Chordata; Mammalia; Artiodactyla; Suidae. The record is from RNAcentral.
GCAAAAGAAUAUUUAACGGGCAACUUGACCUCUGGUCAGAACAUCCCAAACAGUUGAGAGCAAGGACAGAGCCUUUGGUAUUAAAUGCCUCUGAACUGAAAGGGCGGGAAGGCAGUGUUCCGGCUCUUGUGCUUCGGACAUGGAGCAACUUCUUUCAACCACUUGUCACAGGCUACGUGGGCAGCUCGUGCGUUCUGGAAUUUCUGAGGGAGACUUACCAAGUGCUUUCUGCUGAGACUGACGCAGCCAAGCGGGGGCAUCUGCGUGCCAGGAAUAUAUGGUUGCGUGUGUGCCACUGUUUAUCUGUUUGCAAAAUGUGCCAUAUGUUGACAGCCUAACAUAUGUCGAGCUAUAUGGAAGAUUAGUCAGAGAGAAAGAAGAGCCAGAAUAUGAGAAAGAGAGGGAGAAGAGGAAAUAUGAAAGUGAAAACAAACCCCAGUGACUGGCGAGAUGAUGAAUUCUUUGAGCUUGAGGGGUAUAUCUAGGUUACUUUUAAUCCCUACUGCCUGCAGUUUUGCUGGGCACGUAGGAGAUGCUUAGUUAGUAUAUCCUGAGAAGGAAAAGAGCCCAUGCAAGGUGCCUAGAACCAUGUCUCCUAUCACAGAUGGUGCAUGGCAAGUGUAGAUUGAAUGAAUGCAUGAGAGAAUGUUUAGAGCUAGAAAAACCCUCGGAGUUUCAUUGUAUCACUCUUUUACAGAUAAAACUGCAUCUUGGAGGAGCAUGAGAAUAAUGGCAGCCAGGCCAGCCUUGGGGCCUGGGUGCUGGAGCUGGAGCUGGAGCUUGGGUCCUGGGGUAUCAUCUACCACCUUCUUUGCCACACGGCUCUCACUGCUGGCGUCUGGACCCCACGUGUUGCUGCUGCAGCCGCCCUUGGCGCUGUCGGGAUUCUCAUCACAAGCCAAGGCCCCAUGCACCUGGAAGACAUUUGAACUCCUGCGCUGUUGAUGCUCCUGUCGCUGUUACUAUAGGAGACUCCUAGGCGCUGUCGUUCCUUAUGGUGAGUCUUGUGUUUCUCCAUGGAGAAGCUUUCAUUAUUUCCAGACUUGCUGAACCCAUUAUGAGACCAUUGAGACAGGAUAAGAAAUAAAAAUGUCUACUUUGUUCACUGGGCUGUUAUUCCUGGAUCUUUACAAUUGAGGUGGAGAAAGAAAACACCUCCAGAAAAAUAAUUUAAGAGGCAUGGCUGGUCGGUUGUGUCACGUUUGAUCCCAGGAGCCCUGUAGUUCAGGCGCAAAUAUGAAAAGGGCUAUGGAAGUAAAUUUCAGUGACGUUUUUUAUUUAAAAAUCUCCUGCUGACAAAAGCACCUUUCCCAUCAAGGGGUCAUCUCGGUGCCCAAUUUAAAGGCUGGCCUGUCCAGUAAAGUGCCUUCGUGCCAAGAAUUCUGGAUUUUCCCUUACGGGUUCUUUCUCCGAGUGGUCGUGCUGGGUUUGAAUUAGUGUGUUGACCUUUUUGAGCCUUUGUGUUCGUCAUUCAUAAAAAAAAAUUGGCUGUACUUUUUGGCUAUAUUGACAUGGAGGCACUGAGUCAAAUAUCCUAACCCCCCAAUACUUACCUCCUACCAGCAGCAGCAUUUUCCCGGGCAAGACACCGUUUCUGCAAGUAGAUUUGUAAGUCAGGUUGAUCCAAAGGGUUUAACAGUUCCUUCUGAAGAGCCAGGCUCUUGCCCAUUGUUGCUAAUUGGCUAGAUGUUGGGUUUUUUUGUUUGUUUAUUUGUUAUAGCCCAUUGAAUGCAAUAUCAUAUAUUAUUAUCUCGGUGAGCUCCCUAUGGGGAUGUGAACUUGUUCUACACCCACAUAAAAUACUUUAUUCCCCGGUUUUCUUAUUAGAUUUACUAACAUGUCACUGCUGUACCAUUACCAUUUAACAGCCUGGGAGGCAGAAAGAACACACUAUUAUACAAGUCUUGGCAAAGCCAACACCGAUGUAGGGAAAUCAUUAAGCUUCAGGAAGUUUUAACUUUCUUGCACCCAAUUUCUUAUCAUUAAUGCAAGAUUUGUAUUCUUCCUUGACCCCCUAAUCUUGUAAAGGAAAUAGGGGGAGAAAAGGGGAAGGGGAGGGGAGGAGGAGACGCAGAUCGGGCUGAGCCAUAGCCAUUUCCAGCGCAUGCACUUACAUCAGUGAUUAAUCAAACUAAUGGGGAGUUCUAAUUCGGUGCUCUGCUACCCUUAAGCCCCGUAAUUGCGGUGUCUCUGAACCCAAAGGAAACACGUUGUGCUCUGCGUGCCCAGGCGCAUAGCUUUUAAAUCUUCAUAACUCUGUAAUUACUCCAGCGCUUUCCUUCAAAUCUGGCUUAAUUUCACUUCCUUAAUGAGUACUCCCAUCUUGAUAAAGUUGGAAGCCUGCUGCCUCUGCUGUUCACAAGGACUCAAUCCCAGGCUGAUAAUGUGAGUUGUGGAUUUCACUCCCUCAAGUUCCUCUCAAAAAGGAGCUGAUUUAUUUCAGGACCACCGCAGUCACAAGCACUUCCUCUGGGUCAAGGCCAGCGCGGGGUGUUUCCAUCACAGAAGGGUGCUUGGAGAGCAAGUUCUAAACAGUUUAAAAAAAAAAAAAAAAACAGAGCAGGGGGUGCAGGGAGGCGGGAAGCUUAUGAACCCUUGGGGAAUGGCUGUUUCGCUUUAUUAGCGCCAUGUGCUCCAGAGACUGUGGUUCAUUUUACCCAAUCGAAGACUUUGCUGUAUAGCAAAUAUAUUAAAAAUCCACUUCCUCUUCAUAAACGGAGCCCUGCCAAAGAGUGAACAUUUCAAGUCAG